This 504-nucleotide ribosomal RNA is filed under the name Weissella cibaria. Its description in RNAcentral is "bacterial SSU rRNA". It matches the Rfam family "Bacterial small subunit ribosomal RNA", at positions 50 to 509 of the family's 1533-position model. The record is from RNAcentral. Lineage: Bacteria; Bacillati; Bacillota; Bacilli; Lactobacillales; Lactobacillaceae.
UAUACAUGCAGUCGAACGCUUUGUGGUUCAACUGAUUUGAAGAGCUUGCUCAGAUAUGACGAUGGACAUUGCAAAGAGUGGCGAACGGGUGAGUAACACGUGGGAAACCUACCUCUUAGCAGGGGAUAACAUUUGGAAACAGAUGCUAAUACCGUAUAACAAUAGCAACCGCAUGGUUGCUACUUAAAAGAUGGUUCUGCUAUCACUAAGAGAUGGUCCCGCGGUGCAUUAGUUAGUUGGUGAGGUAAUGGCUCACCAAGACGAUGAUGCAUAGCCGAGUUGAGAGACUGAUCGGCCACAAUGGGACUGAGACACGGCCCAUACUCCUACGGGAGGCAGCAGUAGGGAAUCUUCCACAAUGGGCGAAAGCCUGAUGGAGCAACGCCGCGUGUGUGAUGAAGGGUUUCGGCUCGUAAAACACUGUUGUAAGAGAAGAAUGACAUUGAGAGUAACUGUUCAAUGUGUGACGGUAUCUUACCAGAAAGGAACGGCUAAAUACGUGCC